UGAACGCUGGCGGCAGGCCUAACACAUGCAAGUCGAGCGGAUGAAGGGAGCUUGCUCCUGGAUUCAGCGGCGGACGGGUGAGUAAUGCCUAGGAAUCUGCCUGGUAGUGGGGGAUAACGUCCGGAAACGGGCGCUAAUACCGCAUACGUCCUGAGGGAGAAAGUGGGGGAUCUUCGGACCUCACGCUAUCAGAUGAGCCUAGGUCAGAUUAGCUAGUUGGUGGGGUAAAGGCCUACCAAGGCGACGAUCCGUAACUGGUCUGAGAGGAUGAUCAGUCACACUGGAACUGAGACACGGUCCAGACUCCUACGGGAGGCAGCAGUGGGGAAUAUUGGACAAUGGGCGAAAGCCUGAUCCAGCCAUGCCGCGUGUGUGAAGAAGGUCUUCGGAUUGUAAAGCACUUUAAGUUGGGAGGAAGGGCAGUAAGUUAAUACCUUGCUGUUUUGACGUUACCAACAGAAUAAGCACCGGCUAACUUCGUG
Molecule: ribosomal RNA, 482 nt
Filed under: uncultured bacterium
Lineage: Bacteria
Description: partial 16S ribosomal RNA
Rfam family: Bacterial small subunit ribosomal RNA
Source: RNAcentral